RNAcentral lists this unclassified non-coding RNA (253 nucleotides) under uncultured Myxococcales bacterium. RNAcentral's name for it is "contains 16S-23S intergenic spacer region". It matches the Rfam family "Bacterial small subunit ribosomal RNA", at positions 524 to 776 of the family's 1533-position model. Lineage: Bacteria; Pseudomonadati; Myxococcota; Myxococcia; Myxococcales. The record is from RNAcentral.
UACGGAGGGUGCAAACGUUGCUCGGAAUCAUUGGGCGUAAAGAGUGCGUAGGCGGAUAGGCAAGUCGGGUGUGAAAGCCCUCGGCUCAACCGAGGAAGAGCAUUCGAAACUACCUAACUAGAGUACCGGAGAGGAUGACGGAAUUCCCGGUGUAGAGGUGAAAUUCGUAGAUAUCGGGAGGAACACCUGAGGCGAAGGCGGUCAUCUGGACGGAUACUGACGCUGAGGCACGAAAGCGUGGGGAGCAAACAGG